GGAUGCCCAGUUAAAUUUUAACUUCAAAUAAGCAACAAUACAUUUUUUUAGGGUAAGUAUGUUCCAUGCAAUGUUUGGUACAUACUUAUCCUAAAAAAUAAUCAUUGCUUAUCUGAAAGCCAUAUUUAACUGGGCAUCCUGUA
Molecule: microRNA precursor, 143 nt
Filed under: Ovis aries (sheep)
Lineage: Eukaryota; Metazoa; Chordata; Mammalia; Artiodactyla; Bovidae
Description: miRNA (ENSOARG00000023318.1)
Rfam family: mir-1302 microRNA precursor family (bases 45-96)
Source: RNAcentral